RNAcentral lists this ribosomal RNA (1018 nucleotides) under uncultured archaeon. RNAcentral describes it as "bacterial SSU rRNA". It matches the Rfam family "Archaeal small subunit ribosomal RNA", at positions 62 to 1086 of the family's 1478-position model. The record is from RNAcentral.
AUGUAGCAAUACAUGGCGUACUGCUCAGUAACACGUGGAUAACCUACCCUUGAGAUGGGAAUAAACCCGGGAACUGGGUAUAAUACCCGAUAGAUCUCGACUGCUGGAAUGCAUCGAGAUCCAAAGCUUUGGCGCUCAAGGAUGGAUCUGCGGCCUAUCAGGUAGUAGUGGGUGUAGCGUACCUACUAGCCUACGACGGGUACGGGUUGUGAGAGCAAGAGCCCGGAGAUGGAUUCUGAGACACGAAUCCAGGCCCUACGGGGUGCAGCAGGCGCGAAAACUUUACAAUGCUGGAAACAGCGAUAAGGGGACCUCGAGUGCCAGGUUACAAAUCUGGCUGUCGUGAUGCCUAAAAAGCAUUGCAUAGCAAGGGCCGGGCAAGAUCGGUGCCAGCCGCCGCGGUAACACCGGCGGCUCGAGUGGUAACCGUUAUUAUUGGGUCUAAAGGGUCUGUAGCCGGCCGGAUAAGUCUCUUGGGAAAUCUGGCAGCUUAACUGUCAGGCUUUCAGGAGAUACUGUCUGGCUCGAGGCCGGGAGAGGUGAGAGGUACUUCAGGGGUAGGGGUGAAAUCUUGUAAUCCUUGAAGGACCACCAGUGGCGAAGGCGUCUCACCAGAACGGACCUGACGGCAAGGGACGAAAGCUAGGGGCACGAACCGGAUUAGAUACCCGGGUAGUCCUAGCCGUAAACGAUACUCGCUAGGUGUCGGCAACGGUGCGACCGUUGUCGGUGCCGUAGGGAAGCCGUGAAGCGAGCCACCUGGGAAGUACGGCCGCAAGGCUGAAACUUAAAGGAAUUGGCGGGGGAGCACCACAACGGGUGGAGCUUGCGGUUUAAUUGGAUUCAACGCCGGAAAUCUUACCGGGACCGACAGCAAUAUGAAGGCCAGGCUGAAGACUUUGCCGGAUUAGCUGAGAGGUGGUGCAUGGCCGUCGUCAGUUCGUACUGUGAAGCAUCCUGUUAAGUCAGGCAACGAGCGAGACCCACGCCCACAGUUGCCAGCGUACUCUUUGGAGUG